This 797-nucleotide non-coding RNA is filed under the name Pongo abelii (Sumatran orangutan). The record is from RNAcentral. Lineage: Eukaryota; Metazoa; Chordata; Mammalia; Primates; Hominidae.
AUCAUUUCUUCUGCUUACUACCAUCCUAAAUCAUUUUUCUUUAGUAAGAUCUAUUAGUGUGAAGCUAUUAAGCUAUUAAUGUAAGUAUCAUAUUAAUGUAUUAAGAUAUUAAGUGAGGAAGUAAAGUUGCAUUCAUAGGCCUUGAACUUUUCCACAUCUCGAUUUUUACCCAUCAUCUCUGCAUAUUUUCCUAAGGCAGCCUUCAAAUGGUGAUGUUUCCUGUCAUCCAGAGUUCAGAAGUGCCUUCUCUUCAACCUUUCUGUGGAAUUCUAAACCACGUGAUAAAGGAGCUGGUGAGCCAGAUUUCCUUCUGCACCAGAGCCUGUGGAAGCGCCACAGCGGAAGCACAGAGACUGGAAGAGCAGGCAAGAAGCUGGGAGCUUUGCACUGAACCAGGAAGACAUCACAGCUCUUAGGCGAAGACCCGGAAAGGUGUCAACAUGGCCACACUACUGCUCCCACCUUGUCCUUAUUUUCCUCAUCUCUCCCCACAGGCCACAGAUCAGCCCUGGGGUUCAGAGGGAUCCUGACGGCUACUCCUCAAGAUCCUCUCUGUUGUGAUUCAUCCCCCCCAGGCCCUACAGUUUCUCCUUCCUGACUCUUACAUUUCUUUGGAUGGCAUCACUAUUGCUGGAGUGCAGUGGUGUGAUCUCAGCUCACUGCAACCCCUGCCUCCUGGAUUCAAGCAAUUCUCCUGCCUCAGCCUCCCAAGUAGCUGGGAUUGCAGUACCUGUCUCCUCCCAUAGUUAGUUGCCAAGCACUGUGGAUUCUACCCCUCAGGGUCCAGACACCCAUUU